CUACGGGGUGCAGCAGUGGGGAAUAUUGCACAAUGGAGGAAACUCUGAUGCAGCAACGCCGCGUGGAGGAUGACACAUUUCGGUGCGUAAACUCCUUUUAUAUGAGAAGAUAAUGACGGUAUCAUAUGAAUAAGCACCGGCUAACUCCGUGCCAGCAGCCGCGGUAAUACGGGGGGUGCAAGCGUUACUCGGAAUCACUGGGCGUAAAGAGCAUGUAGGCGGAUAGAAAAGUUGGAAGUGAAAUCCUGUGGCUUAACCAUAGAACUGCUUCCAAAACUCUCUAUCUAGAAUGUGGGAGAGGUAGAUGGAAUUUCUGGUGUAGGGGUAAAAUCCGUAGAGAUCAGAAGGAAUACCGAUUGCGAAGGCGAUCUACUGGAACAUUAUUGACGCUGAGAUGCGAAAGCGUGGGGAGCAAACAGGAUUAGAUACCCGCGUAGUC
This 439-nucleotide ribosomal RNA is filed under the name uncultured bacterium. Its description in RNAcentral is "partial 16S ribosomal RNA". It matches the Rfam family "Bacterial small subunit ribosomal RNA", at positions 339 to 795 of the family's 1533-position model. The record is from RNAcentral.